GCCAGCGAGCUGCGAGGAGUGUUUUAGGAGAGGAAGUGCCCAUCUGUAGUCAAUAGCUAUUGUUCUCAUGGAGCCACAUGCCGGCCUCGCUGCAGCCUGCCGAACUGCGUCACGACACUGCAGUAUCAGCCCCUUUGAAUAAAGACUCCCUGUUGAACCAGAUUUAUCCACCCUACCAUUUUCACUGUCAUUUGAUUAUCUGCUUGUAUUUUCUGGCUGUGCUAAUGCAGUCUUUUAGCAGUGUUAUCAGAGAAUCCCUAUGGCUCAGUAUCUCACAAAGCUGGACAGAUCUCCUUGUGUUUGCUGGUUUUCUUCAUUGCCCUGUCCAUUUGUUGGCUUGUACAAUGGCAACUCUGGGAUUUCUGACCCUGAACUAAACUGCUGCAGGGCUGAGUGGGAGACUUGGCAGCUUUUGCAGGUAAUCUUUGGGAAUGGGGGUACUAUUCUUGUGUAUAGAGCUGCAGGUUACUUUAAGGAACUAGAGCAGUGUCCAAGAGUCCUAAAGGUAAGACAUGUCACAGCAACUGUUUUUAAUAAGGCCUAACUCAUUCUGUUUCUUUGUUUACCCAUCUCCUUCC
Molecule: long non-coding RNA, 578 nt
Organism: Neopsephotus bourkii (Bourke's parrot)
Lineage: Eukaryota; Metazoa; Chordata; Aves; Psittaciformes; Psittacidae
Exons: 3
Source: RefSeq, a predicted model, not a curated record